Molecule: ribosomal RNA, 559 nt
Filed under: uncultured Actinomyces sp.
Lineage: Bacteria; Bacillati; Actinomycetota; Actinomycetes; Actinomycetales; Actinomycetaceae
Description: partial 16S ribosomal RNA
Source: RNAcentral
CCCCAAAUUCUGUGUGCGCGAUGAGGAUUUUCGGAAUUUGAAGUGUUUUCACCUUUGGAGGAGGAAAAAACGCUCCCUUCAGAGGAGGUGAGGGCUAAAUACAUGAGAGCCGCGGCGAAAUACGCAUGUGACGAGGGUAAUCCGGAUAUAUUGGGCGUUUAACGCGACUAUGGGGGUAUAUGAGUCUCAGGUGAAAAUGCGGGGUCUCCUCUGUAUAUCGUUGUAAAACUUAUAACUAGAGUGCUGGAGAGGAGGCGGGGAUACACGAGUUAGGUGUAAUUUCUGAUAUAUGGGGAUACCGCUAUGUAAGGAGAGCACUGGGAGAUAAGUGGCUAUAGGCGCAAGCUGGUAUAAAACGAAAAGAUACCUGGAAACCAAAGUGAAAUUCCCAUUUGAGCGCACUGGGAUCUCUUGUGUUCCGGGGGCCCCACGGGUAGCGAGUCCCCCUAGAGUCCCGUUUCCCCAACGAUGCAUAACUACACACCUGUCACUGAUAACACUGCGUCCUGACUACCCGCUUUACAACUCAUCGUCUCAAGAGUCCUGUUCGAUGUUGUGA